This 440-nucleotide ribosomal RNA is filed under the name uncultured bacterium. Its description in RNAcentral is "partial 16S ribosomal RNA". It matches the Rfam family "Bacterial small subunit ribosomal RNA", at positions 338 to 795 of the family's 1533-position model. The record is from RNAcentral.
CCUACGGGAGGCAGCAGUGGGGAAUAUUGCACAAUGGGGGAAACCCUGAUGCAGCAACGCCGCGUGAGUGAUGACGGCCUUCGGGUUGUAAAGCUCUGUCUUCAGGGAAGAAAAUGACGUUCCCUGAGGAGGUAGCCACGGCUAACUACGUGCCAACAGCCGCGUUAAUCCGUAGGUGGCGAGCGUUGUCCGGAUUGACUGGGCGUAAAGGGAGCGUAGGCGGGCUUUUAAGUGAGAUGUGAAAUACUCGGGCUUAACUUGGGUGCUGCAUUUCAAACUGGAAGUCUAGAGUGCAGGAGAGGAGAAUGGAAUGCCUAGUGUAGCGGUGAAAUGCGUAGAGAUUAGGAAGAACACCAGUGGCGAAGGCGAGUCUCUGGACUGUAACUGACGCUGAGGCUCGAAAGCGUGGGGAGCAAACAGGAUUAGAUACCCUUGUAGUC